UUUGCAUAGAGAGUGUGUUUUACAUGAGCGACACACACUUCAGUGCUCUGCAUGUGUUUAUAACUCUGACAAACAUCAAACAUGAUCAACAACUGUUUCUCACUAGAACUGAACCUACAACCAACAGAAAUGACUUUCAUCACCAUAUUGAUCUGGACGCUGACAGUAUUAUGUAGAGAAUCUAUUGGGCAGGUGACAGUGACUCAAACUCCCUCAGUGCUGCUCGCUCAAACUGGACAAUCAGUCACCGUUACCUGUACAUUUAGCAGUGAUUCCUGCUGUACUAGUAAUGGAAAUCCUGCUGUGAGUUGGUACUUACAGAAACCUGGAGAAGCUCCUAAACUCCUGAUUUAUUAUACAAGCAGCCGUCAGUCAGGAACUCCAUCUAGAUUCAGUGGCAGUAAAUCAUCUGAGAGAGAUUUCGCUCUGACCAUCAGUGGAGUCCAGACUGAAGAUGCUGGACAUUAUUACUGUAUGAAUGUACACAGUGAUGAUGUGUUUACACAGUGAUAAAGAGUCGUACAA
Non-coding RNA from Cyprinus carpio (common carp), 525 nucleotides. The record is from the annotation of a RefSeq genome assembly. Lineage: Eukaryota; Metazoa; Chordata; Actinopteri; Cypriniformes; Cyprinidae.